Molecule: ribosomal RNA, 158 nt
Filed under: uncultured bacterium
Lineage: Bacteria
Description: partial 16S ribosomal RNA
Rfam family: Bacterial small subunit ribosomal RNA
Source: RNAcentral
UGAGGAAUAUUGGUCAAUGGGCGCGAGCCUGAACCAGCCAAGUCGCGUGAGGGAGGACGGCCCUACGGGUUGUAAACCUCUUUUGCCGGGGAGCAACGGGCGUCACGUGUGGCGCCACUGAGAGUACCCGAAGAAAAAGCAUCGGCUAACUCCGUGCC